UAUGAGAAAUUAAAUGGCCGCGGUAUUUUAACCGUGCAAAGGUAGCACAGUCACUUGUCUCUUAAUUGGAGGCUUGAAUGAAGGGUUGGACGUGAUAUAAACCUUCUUUUUUAUAAUUGGUUGAAUUUGACCUUUGAGUCAAAAGGAUUAAAUUUAUUUAUAGGACGAGAAAACCCUAUAGGAUUUUAUAUUUUUAUGUUAAUAAUUUAUUUGUUUAUGAUUAGAUUUUUAAUAUAAAAAUAUUUUGUUGGGGCGAUGGGAAGAUUUUUUUAACUCUUUUUUAUUUAAUMCAUUGAUAUAUGUUUUUUGGAUCCUUUUUUAGAGAUUAAAAGAUUAAAUUACCUUAGGGAUAACAGCGUAAUUCUUUUGGAGAGUUCUUAUCGAUAAAGGAGUUAUGCGACCUCGAUGUUGAAUUAAGAUAAGUGCCAGGGGUAGGUUU
Molecule: ribosomal RNA, 439 nt
Filed under: Belostoma ellipticum
Lineage: Eukaryota; Metazoa; Arthropoda; Insecta; Hemiptera; Belostomatidae
Description: partial 16S ribosomal RNA
Source: RNAcentral